GUCGGGAGUUAAGAAAUGUAGACUCGCUAAUAUCGGGUCUAUUUGACAAAGGCUCCAAAGGAAGCCACGGCUAACUCUGUGCCAGCAGCCGCGGUAAUACAGAGGUGGCAAGCGUUGUUCGGAAUUAUUGGGCGUAAAGAGCACGUAGGUGGAUUUGUAAGUCAGACGUGAAAGCCUUCUGUUCAACGGAAGAAUUGCAUCUGAAACUACAAACCUUGAGUGUAGGAGGGGAGAGUGGAACUUCUGGU
RNAcentral lists this ribosomal RNA (248 nucleotides) under uncultured Planctomycetales bacterium. Its description in RNAcentral is "partial 16S ribosomal RNA". It matches the Rfam family "Bacterial small subunit ribosomal RNA", at positions 434 to 674 of the family's 1533-position model. Lineage: Bacteria; Pseudomonadati; Planctomycetota; Planctomycetia; Planctomycetales. The record is from RNAcentral.